This is a long non-coding RNA of Numida meleagris (helmeted guineafowl), 1415 nucleotides long. RefSeq lists it as uncharacterized. The record is from RefSeq and is a predicted model, not a curated record. The transcript has 2 exons. Lineage: Eukaryota; Metazoa; Chordata; Aves; Galliformes; Numididae.
UUCCGCUCUUCGGCGCGCAUGCGCGCUACCGCCUGGAGGGCUCAUCACAAUCGAGAUCGGCGGAUUAGCUGCGCAGAGCGGUCAGAACGCAGUGAUGCCACUUCCGCUUUUCAGCACGCAUGUGCGCUACUGCCGGGUGGACUAAUCGCAAUAGAGAUCGGCGGAUUCGCUGCGCAGAGCGGUCAGAACGUAGGUACGCCACUUCCGCUUUCCGGCGCGCAUGCGCGCUACUGCCUGAAGGAUCUUAGCAGCGCAUCCCGUACCGAAUUCUCUUCGAUUGGCGGGAGCAGUGAGUACUGCUCAGCCAGUGCGCGAUGCUAGGGCUGGCACCUGACGGUCAUGUGCAACGCUAAGCCAAUCGGGUGCCGCAGUGUGCGCAUGUGACGCUAGGAAUAAAAGCUGUCCGUUCCCCGGUUCGGACUCGGGCAUAGAACCGUGGAAAUAGAGAAAGGCCAUUAUGGAUUCGCAGGGCGGAAUAUCGCUGAGCCGACGGUCCAGGAAUUGACUCCUCCCUGCCCUUUACUGGAUCGUAGAGACGGGUGAUAGUUGUACUCUUUCCGACGCAUGCGCGCUUCUGCCUGGAGGGCUAAUCACAAUAAGGAUUGGCGGAUUCGCUGCGCAGUGCGGUCAGAACGUGGGUACGCCUAUUCCGCUUUUCGGUGCGCAUGCGUCAUGCUGCCUGGGUCACCAAGCGCAGGCAGCGGCAGUUCUGCGGAUUGGCCACGCGGUGGCAGCUGAGACCACGGGAAGAACUCGUCCGAUGGGAUCGGCGCGGCUCCCCAGCCCCGUCCUGGCGUUCUGUUUUCUCUUUCUUCUGACGACAGAAGACAAAGUCAGAGGAGAAGGGGAAAAACAACAAAAAAAGAAACAAAGAAAACCAAUCACAGACCUCAAAUAAAGAGGGAAUCAUUCGCCCGUCUCCAAGGACCAGGGCUCACCCCACACUCACCGGUUCAGGCUGUGACCUAACAGUUCCCAUACAGAAAUGAAGCAAAAAAAGCCCAGAAGAUUGGAGAAUGAGGGCUGGGGGUGGCAGUGGCAGUGCUACAGUGUAGGGUCUGCAAGUGCAAUGUCUCGAUGCGUCCUCUGCGUGACUGAGGAGUGAGUGGUCCCCUGAGUUGCCAGUGCAGUCAGCAUUAUUAGAGCUCCAAUGCUGGGAGAACAGGGUUGCAGCUGCCUCUACUCCUAUCUAGAUGUCAGCAGCUGGGAACAAUCCUGGAAGCUGUAGUCCCCACCUGGGACCUCUGCCCUCCCUCUGCACCAUUCCCUGAGCUCAUCCCAACACCAAGACUCAGACAGAAGAAGCCAGUGCAAGCAUUGUUCUUGAAUAUGUAUUUUUUACUGAAAAAAUCAUUCAUAAAUUAACAGAUACAAAAAUGUACAAACACAUGGGUAAAUAAAUGUAAUGAGACAAA